UACGAGGGGGGCGAGCGUUGUUCGGAAUUAUUGGGCGUAAAGGGUGCGUAGGCGGUUCCGCAAGUCCUGUGUGAAAUCUUCGGGCUCAACUCGAAGUCUGCACGGGAAACUGCGGGGCUUGAGUGUGGGAGAGGUGAGUGGAAUUCCCGGUGUAGCGGUGAAAUGCGUAGAUAUCGGAAGGAACACCAGUGGCGAAAGCGGCUUCCUGGUCCAGCACCGACGUUCAGGCACGAAAGCGUGGGGAGCAAACAGG
Molecule: ribosomal RNA, 253 nt
Filed under: uncultured bacterium
Lineage: Bacteria
Description: partial 16S ribosomal RNA
Rfam family: Bacterial small subunit ribosomal RNA
Source: RNAcentral